RNAcentral lists this ribosomal RNA (433 nucleotides) under uncultured bacterium 'eubacterium sp.'. RNAcentral's name for it is "bacterial SSU rRNA". It matches the Rfam family "Bacterial small subunit ribosomal RNA", at positions 29 to 507 of the family's 1533-position model. RNAcentral also lists the same sequence under 1 other name. The record is from RNAcentral.
AACGAACGCUGGCGGCAGGCUUAACACAUGCAAGUCGAGCGCCCCGGUAACGGGGAGCGGCAGACGGGUGAGUAACGCGUGGGAAUCUACCCAACCCUACGGAAUAACGCAUGGAAACGUGUGCUAAUACCGUAUACGCCCUUUUGGGGAAAGAUUUAUCGGGGAUGGAUGAGCCCGCGUUGGAUUAGCUAGUUGGUGGGGUAAAGGCCUACCAAGGCGACGAUCCAUAGCUGGUCUGAGAGGAUGAUCAGCCACAUUGGGACUGAGACACGGCCCAAACUCCUACGGGAGGCAGCAGUGGGGAAUAUUGGACAAUGGGCGCAAGCCUGAUCCAGCCAUGCCGCGUGAGUGAUGAAGGCCUUAGGGUUGUAAAGCUCUUUCACCGGGGAAGAUAAUGACGGUACCCGGAGAAGAAGCCCCGGCUAACUUCGUG